Molecule: ribosomal RNA, 468 nt
Filed under: uncultured bacterium
Lineage: Bacteria
Description: partial 16S ribosomal RNA
Rfam family: Bacterial small subunit ribosomal RNA
Source: RNAcentral
GACGAACGCUGGCGGCGUGCUUAACACAUGCAAGUCGAACGGAAAGGCCCUGCUUUUGUUGGGUGCUCGAUUGGCGAACGGGUGAGUAACACGUGAGUAACCUGCCCUUGACUUUGUGAUAACUUCAGGAAACUGGGGCUAAUACCGGAUAGGAGCUCCUGCUGCAUGGUGGGGGUUGGAAAGUUUCGGCGGUUGGGGAUGGACUCGCGGCUUAUCAGCUUGUUGGUGGGGUAGUGGCUUACCAAGGCUUUGACGGGUAGCCGGCCUGGGAGGGUGACCGGCCACAUUGGGACUGAGAUACGGCCCAGACUCCUACGGGAGGCAGCGGUGGGGAAUAUUGCACAAUGGGCGGAAGCCUGAUGCAGCAACGCCGCGUGCGGGAUGACGGCCUUCGGGUUGUAAACCGCUUUCGCCUGUGACGAAGCGUGAGUGACGGUAAUGGGUAAAGAAGCACCGGCUAACUACGUG